GCUGGGCGUGCUGGCGUAUGCCUGUGGUCCCAGCUACUCAGGAGGCUGAGGCAGGAGGAUCACUUGAGCCCAGGAGGUCGAGGCUGCAGUGGGAUGUGAUCUUGCCACUGCACUCCAGCCUGGGUGACACAGCGAGACCCUGUCUCUA
This is a non-coding RNA of Homo sapiens (human), 148 nucleotides long. It matches the Rfam family "Metazoan signal recognition particle RNA". From Rfam's summary of the family: The signal recognition particle (SRP) is a universally conserved ribonucleoprotein. It is involved in the co-translational targeting of proteins to membranes. The eukaryotic SRP consists of a 300-nucleotide 7S RNA and six proteins: SRPs 72, 68, 54, 19, 14, and 9. The record is from Rfam. Lineage: Eukaryota; Metazoa; Chordata; Mammalia; Primates; Hominidae.